UGUCUUGGCUCAGUGGAAGAGUGUUUGCCUAGCAUGCAUAAGGCUCUGGGUUCAAUUCCCAGUGCUGACAA
Molecule: transfer RNA, 71 nt
Filed under: Marmota monax (woodchuck)
Lineage: Eukaryota; Metazoa; Chordata; Mammalia; Rodentia; Sciuridae
Description: tRNA.Ala
Rfam family: tRNA
About the family: Transfer RNA (tRNA) molecules are approximately 80 nucleotides in length. Their secondary structure includes four short double-helical elements and three loops (D, anti-codon, and T loops).
Source: RNAcentral